Molecule: non-coding RNA, 207 nt
Filed under: Pontibaca methylaminivorans
Lineage: Bacteria; Pseudomonadati; Pseudomonadota; Alphaproteobacteria; Rhodobacterales; Roseobacteraceae
Source: RNAcentral
CUAUGCCGAAGCUGCUCUGGUGCGGCGGGAAACCCGCCGUCAAUAGGGAAUGUGGUGCGGCGGGAAACCGCCAAUUCCACGACUGCCCCCGCAACUGUAGGCGGCGAGCGGAAACAGAAUGACACCACUGGCCCGGACCGGGCUGGGAAGGACUGUUUGCCGCAACGACCCGCAAGUCAGGAGACCUGCCAGAGCGAUCACCUUCAU